GAUUCGCAACCACCGCAAAAUCGAAGCAACGAAGGGCGAAACGGCAGCAGCCGGUGCUCGCCGCCAUGACAACCGAAACCCUAGUCGGAUGACCUUUCUUCCGAUCGGCCUGUCGCCUCGGCAUCCAUCUGAUUCUCUCUUCGUGCACAGCGAUCGGAAGGGAUAGGACACAAUGGCCGAUUUGGAGAACUUGCUAUUGCAGGCUGCAGGGAGGACGGGGUCUGGCCGGAGGAACAACAACAAUUCACGUUCACAAUCGAGGUGGAGGCGGGACAACUCUUAUUCUGAUGGAAGCGAUUCCAAGGAUGAUGAUUUGGAUAAUCUUAAGUACAAAAACCGAAAAUCAUCGGGCUCCCAGAUUCCGGUGAAGAAGAGGUUUGACCUACCAGAGUCAGGCACGAGGAGUGGCUGGAGGGAUGAGGACGGCGGUGAAGGAGGCAGGCAUAGUGAUGAAGAUUCCGAUAGUGCACCCUCCGUUGGGAGUGAUCUUUACAAGGAUGACGCAGAUAAAGAAGAACUUGGUAAGAUGUCUGAACUGGACAGGGAGAUGAUUUUGGCAGAAAGGAGUACAAAGAUAGAUGAUUACAAGCUAAAAAAGAUGGCAAGAGCAUCAUCUUCAAAGAUGGAAAGAAGUCGGAAGGAGAGCUCUCCUGUUCCACCUCAUGGUCGCUCGUCUGCCCGGAAUGACAAAACUGCAGCAAAGAGUGCUUUGAAUGAGCUGAGAGCUAAGAGAAUGAGACAACAAGAUCCUGAUGGUUACCGCAGCCGGCUGGGGGAUUUGACCGGGGAAGGAAGUAGUGGCUUUCGUCUCCGUGAUUCUUCUCCCCCUAAACAUAGAACUCUUGGUACAGCUGCAAGUCCUCCCAGUGAUAAUAGCAAUGAAGAUGAGAGUGGAGGCAGAGCUGACAGUGACAAUGAAAGGUACCGUGAUGAUAAUAAAAGGGAUGAUGAUUUGGAUGAUCUAUCCCCCUCAGGAUUGGAUGCACCUAAGUUUGAGGAUGUUAAAGAGAUAACAAUCAGGAGGUCAAAGCUGGUGAAGUGGUUCAUGGAACCCUUUUUUGAAGAGCUUAUUGCAGGAUGCUUUGUACGUCUUGGUAUUGGGAAGACGCGCACGGGGAAGCCCAAAUACAAGCUAUGCUUAGUCAGGAAUGUGGAUGCGACUGACCCUGAAAAAUACUACAAACUAGAACAUUAUACCACCUACAAAUGGCUGAAUUGCAUAUGGGGUAGUGAUUCCUCAGCUGCUAGAUGGCAGAUGGCUAUGGUCUCAGAUUCUCCACCACUUAUAGAUGAAUUCAAUGAGUGGAAAUGGGAAGUGGAGAAGGGCAAUGGUCGGAUGCCAACCCGUCAGGAGGUGCUCGAUAAGAAGGCUGAAAUUCAGAAGAUCAGUAAUUUUGUGUAUUCAGCAGCUACUGUGAAACAGAUGCUGCUAGAGAAGAAGUCGGCCUCACUGAGACCAGUCAAUAUUGCUGUUGAGAAGGACCGACUUAGGGAGAAAUUGGAAGUUGCCCAAAAUCGUCGUGAUACAACAGAGAUGGGGAGGAUUAAGGCAAGGUUGAAAGAGCUGGAAAACAUGUCUCAAGGGACAAAGAAGAUUGAUGAAAAGGCUGUUAGGUUGGCAGAGAUGAACAGAAAAAACCGAGCUGAGAACUUCAAGAAUGCCUCAGCGUUGAAACCAGUAAACACUGCCUUGAAGGCUGGGGAGGCUGGCUAUGAUCCAUUUUCACGGAGAUGGACAAGAUCGUCAAAUUAUUAUAUCUCAAAAUUUGGAGGAGAUGACAAUUCAACAACUGUGGAUAUCGAGCAAGGCAAAGUUGACGUGGAUGGAGAUGUAAAUGAAGCAAUAAAAAUGAACGCGGUGGAGACUGGUGAGGCUGCAACUGCUGCUGCAUUGAAAGCUGCAGCUGGCGCUGGUAAGCUGGUAGAUACAAGCGCACCUGUAGACCGUGGCACAGCCUCAAAUUCCCUGCAUGAUUUUGAACUGCCAAUCUCAUUGGCUGUGCUGCAGAAAUUUGGAGGUCCUCAGGGUGUGCAUCAGGGCUUUAUGGCAAGGAAACAGAAAAUAGAAGCCACUUAUGGGUACAAGGUACCUGACAGCGAUGGGCGGAGACAUCCUUUGAUUUUGACAGUCAGUGAUUAUAAACGUCGAAGGGGCUUGCUGUAAACCUGCGCCCUUUUCAAGCAAUUUCGUUCGUUUCUUAUUUGGAUGCUUUGCAAACCAAUGCAACUUUGGCCUGUAACCACAGUGAAACUAAUGCGACACCCGCAAAGCUAUUUUGCAUAGUUCCUCCAAUAGACCUUUUGGUACCCAAGCAUCUGUUAACAUGUUUGUGGGAUUGGGACGGCCUGCUUGGAAGGAGGCGCGAUUGACUUUACAGAGACUUCUCUCAGGAUAAUUUCUCUUUCAAUCUUCAAAGAAUAUGGCUGAUUCUGCUCUAGCAGCAAAUUCAAGUAUUGAAGCUUUGUUAGAUUCAAAUGAAAUCUCAGAACAGAUACGAGAUAAAGGGGAUAGCUUGAAUAAUAAUGUGACUCGAGAUGAUAAUUUAAGUCCUAAGUUCAAGAAAUAAAAGAGGUCUCAUAUAUGGUCAGAAAUGAUUAAGGUUGAGGAUCCAAAAGGUGAUAAGUAUAAGUGCAAACAUUGUCAACUAUUCCUUGCAAAAAUGAAGUCAGGUUCUACAACACACUUAAAACGAUACUUGGAUCAUUGUGCUAAAUACUUGGAGUCUAAAAAGAAACUGGAAGAUAAACUCAAACAACAACAACUAUUGUUAGGAUUCGAAAGUGUUGAUACAACUAUAUCACCUUUGUUACAUGAUGAAAAAUUUUGUAUGGAACGCAUGAAAGAAGCAGCUGCCUCAUGGAUUUUAAUGCAUGAACAUCUAUUUACAUUAUUAGAAGAAGAAGGUUUUAAUAUGUUUUGUAAAUGUGGAAUGCCUGAGUGGACUCGUAUAUCACGAACAACAUUAAAAAAGAGUUGUUUUGCAAUACAUGAAGCUGAGAAGAAAAAAUUACAUAGUUUGCUGAAAAUGUAACAAAGAUUAGCCUCAUGACAGAUUUGUGGAAGUCAAAAAAUCAAAAAAGAGAGUAAAUGGUUAUCACUGGUCAUUGGAUUGACUUUUCUUGGAAAUUGAAUAAAUGUGUUCUCAAUUUUUUUAAUAUACCUCCUUCUCAUGGUGGUCCUCAAAUUUCAUAUACCCUUCUAAAGUGUGCAAGGACAUGGGAGAUUGAAAAUAAAAUAUAUAUUGUUUCUAUUGAUAAUGCGAGUGCUAAUGAUGCUGCAAUUAAAUAUACGAAGUAAGAUUUCUUGAAAAUAAACAACAAUCUAAUUUGUGGGGGAAAAUUAUUCCAUGUCCUAUGUUAUGCACAUAUUUUAAAUCUUAUAGCUCAGGAUGGUCUCAAUGAAAUUAAGGAUAUUAUUCAUAUUAUUCGUCAUAGUGUGGAUUUCAUUAGAAGAACAGAUGCUAGAUUUAUUCAAUUUGCUGAAAUUGUGAAACACUUGAAGUUAUAAGAAAGAAAAUUGGUUGAUGAUGGUAAAAACAAGACGGAAUUCAACUUAUGAGAUGUUGAGAACAACAAUUGCUUUCAAAGAGGUUUUUCCAAGAUUUAAAGAUCGGGAACCUAACUACGUUAUUAUCCAACAGAAUUUGAUUGGGAGAAAUUGCUUAAAGUAUUUUUAGUUUUGAAAGUUUUUUUUAUCAAGCAACCAAAAUUAUUUCUGGAAGUGAGUAUCCUACUAUCAAUCUUUUUCUAAAUGAAGUUUAUCGAGUAAUAUUAAUCUUGGAUGAGAAAUCUUGUGACGAAGAUGAGUUUAUUAGAAAAAUGAUGCAAAAAAUGAAGGAAAAGUUUGAUAAAUAUUGGGGUGAAUGCAAUUUAUUAAUAGUUGUUGGUUCAGUUUUGGAUCCUAGAUGCAAAAUGCAAUUACUUGAAUUCACUUUUCCUAAACUUUAUAACACAUUUGAAUCAGAGAGUAAUAUUAGAGGUCCAAAAGCUUUUGUAUGCAAUUUAUACAGAAUAUGCAAAUGCAGCCAUUGAAAAGCUUCAAGAUCAAAAUUCAAUUCUGAAUCUCAAUCUAGCAAUAGCUUAACUUAAAAUAAUAGAGAGCAAGUUACUUUUUUUCUGGAGGGUCUGAAUUCUCAUCUUAUUUAAAAGAAAUUGAAAUGUUGAGCUAGAUGUGUAUCUUCAGGAAGGGUGUCACAGCAUAAUCCAAAUACGUAGAAGCCUAUUGUUUGGCAUUCGGUGAGAAUUCCCACAUGUGAGAGAGAGUGGCAACAAGGCGAAAUAGCCUAUUUUCUUUUACAAGUUUUCGAUAUACUAUUUCAUCUAGAUAAAUACGUAGAAAUCCUUUCUCGAAUUCAAAAGUUAUCCCUCAACACCAAAGGUCACACCUUAUCACUUGUUCCAUGAAUCCUAACUAGAAUGUAAACGUGGUGUCACUUGUUCACAUAUUGACUUAAUGCUUUAUUUUUUAUUUUCCAUUCUUGGUCAUCAUUUACAUUACAUUAUGAAUUAAUGGUAGAUUACCUGUUAAAUAAGGCUAAUUAUUUACAUGUUCGAUUGUAGUAUGACAUGCAAUUAGCAUACACAAUCAUGCAAAUAUUUGAUUUUCUUCU
Zingiber officinale is the source of this 4610-nucleotide RNA transcript. It is a transcript of the gene named protein RTF1 homolog, with no coding region annotated. The record is from RefSeq and is a predicted model, not a curated record. NCBI's taxonomy places the organism in Eukaryota, Viridiplantae, Streptophyta, Magnoliopsida, Zingiberales, Zingiberaceae. The transcript is spliced from 5 exons.